Molecule: ribosomal RNA, 460 nt
Filed under: uncultured bacterium
Lineage: Bacteria
Description: partial 16S ribosomal RNA
Rfam family: Bacterial small subunit ribosomal RNA
Source: RNAcentral
CCUACGGGAGGCUGCAGUGAGGAAUAUUGGUCAAUGGCCGUAAGGCUGAACCAGCCAAGUCGCGUGAAGGAAGAAGGAUCUAUGGUUUGUAAACUUCUUUUAUAGGGGAAUAAAGGUAUCCACGUGUGGAUAUUUGCAUGUACCCUAUGAAUAAGCAUCGGCUAACUCCGUGCCAGCAGCCGCGGUAAUACGGAGGAUGCGAGCGUUAUCCGGAUUUAUCGGGUUUAAAGGGUGCGUAGGUUGUUUUUUAAGUCAGCGGUGAAAGUUUGUGGCUCAACCAUAAAAUUGCCGUUGAAACUGGAAGACUUGAGUGUGUUUGAGGUAGGCGGAAUGCGUGGUGUAGCGGUGAAAUGCAUAGAUAUCACGCAGAACUCCGAUUGCGAAGGCAGCUUACUAAGCCAUAACUGACACUGAAGCACGAAAGCGUGGGGAUCAAACAGGAUUAGAUACCCUAGUAGUC